GAUGAACGCUGGCGGCGUGCUUAACACAUGCAAGUCGAACGGAAAGGCCCAAGCUUGCUUGGGUACUCGAGUGGCGAACGGGUGAGUAACACGUGGGUGAUCUGCCCUGCACUUCGGGAUAAGCCUGGGAAACUGGGUCUAAUACCGGAUAGGACGAUGGUUUGGAUGCCAUUGUGGAAAGUUUUUUCGGUGUGGGAUGAGCUCGCGGCCUAUCAGCUUGUUGGUGGGGUAAUGGCCUACCAAGGCGUCGACGGGUAGCCGGCCUGAGAGGGUGUACGGCCACAUUGGGACUGAGAGACGGCCCAGGCUCGUAAGGGAGGCAGAAGUGGGGAAUAUUGCACAAUGGGCGCAAGCCUGAUGCAGCGACGCCGCGUGGGGGAUGACGGCCUUCGGGUUGUAAACUCCUUUCGCUAGGGACGAAGCGUUUUUGUGACGGUACCUGGAGAAGAAGCACCGGCUAACUACGUG
This 468-nucleotide ribosomal RNA is filed under the name uncultured bacterium. RNAcentral's name for it is "partial 16S ribosomal RNA". It matches the Rfam family "Bacterial small subunit ribosomal RNA", at positions 28 to 507 of the family's 1533-position model. The record is from RNAcentral.